CCAACAUCUCAAAGUCUCAAGUCAAAACCUCUCCAUCUGAUAAAGAAGUUCUGUCAGCUGCAAGCAAACUGAUUCCCUGUCUAUCUUUCUCCAGGAUGUGUGCACUACCCCAUGCAUGUAAUCCUCAAUGAGAGUCACCCGGGUGCACAAAUAAGAGAUCUCAAAGAAGGCUGCUUGGGUUGAAAGCAAAGGAUCCAGAGCCAAGUUGAGGCCACCUUAGAAGCUGGGAACCUUGUUACUGAGCAGGUCAAUACCAUCCAGCGAGGAGCCAACUGCAGGAGGCAGAAAAGCACCACUCACCACCUCCUGCAUGGGUGCGUUUGGCUGACAGCCGGAAAAAGAAAGAGCAACACUGAAAAUGUACUGGACAUGAUCACAUCUUGGGUAUUUAAUGCAAGUAGCUAAAUUACUGAGCGGGGUAUACAGCAGAUUUGCUCCUAGGCCUGGGAGUCCAUACAGCUGGGUUCUAAUCCUUGGCUCAUCUGCUGAUCUUGACUAAGUCACUUCCCCUCGG
RNAcentral lists this long non-coding RNA (514 nucleotides) under Chelonoidis abingdonii (Abingdon island giant tortoise). RNAcentral describes it as "lncRNA (ENSCABG00000002442.1)". The record is from RNAcentral. Lineage: Eukaryota; Metazoa; Chordata; Testudines; Testudinidae.